AGAGUUUGAUCCUGGCUCAGGAUGAACGCUAGCGGCAGGCUUAACACAUGCAAGUCGAGGGGCAGCGGGUGUAGCAAUACACUGCCGGCGACCGGCGCACGGUGCGUAACGCGUAUGCAACCUACCCACUAACAGGGGCGAUAACACUGAGAAAUUGGUACUAAUUCCCCAUAACAUUCGAAGAGGCAUCUCUUUGGGUUGAAAACUCCGGUGGUUAUGGAUGGGCAUGCGUUGUAUUAGCUAGUU
RNAcentral lists this ribosomal RNA (246 nucleotides) under uncultured bacterium. Its description in RNAcentral is "partial 16S ribosomal RNA". It matches the Rfam family "Bacterial small subunit ribosomal RNA", at positions 8 to 250 of the family's 1533-position model. The record is from RNAcentral.